This 84-nucleotide transfer RNA is filed under the name Streptomyces sp. VRA16 Mangrove soil. RNAcentral's name for it is "tRNA-Leu". It matches the Rfam family "tRNA". From Rfam's summary of the family: Transfer RNA (tRNA) molecules are approximately 80 nucleotides in length. Their secondary structure includes four short double-helical elements and three loops (D, anti-codon, and T loops). The record is from RNAcentral. Lineage: Bacteria; Bacillati; Actinomycetota; Actinomycetes; Kitasatosporales; Streptomycetaceae.
GCGGUUGUGGCGGAAUAGGCAGACGCCCGGGCCUUAGGAGCCCGUGGGAGAAAUCCCGUGAGGGUUCGAAUCCCUCCAACCGCA